GGAGGGGUGCCAGAGUGGUCGAUCGGGCACGCCUGGAGAGCGUGUGUACCUUCGGGUACCGUGGGUUCGAAUCCCACCCCCUCCGCCA
This 88-nucleotide transfer RNA is filed under the name Dehalococcoidia bacterium. Its description in RNAcentral is "tRNA-Ser". It matches the Rfam family "tRNA". Rfam says of the family: Transfer RNA (tRNA) molecules are approximately 80 nucleotides in length. Their secondary structure includes four short double-helical elements and three loops (D, anti-codon, and T loops). Further hydrogen bonds mediate the characteristic L-shaped molecular structure. tRNAs have two regions of fundamental functional importance: the anti-codon, which is responsible for specific mRNA codon recognition, and the 3' end, to which the tRNAs corresponding amino acid is attached (by aminoacyl-tRNA synthetases). tRNAs cope with the degeneracy of the genetic code in two manners: having more than one tRNA (with a specific anti-codon) for a particular amino acid; and 'wobble' base-pairing, i.e. permitting non-standard base-pairing at the 3rd anti-codon position. Lineage: Bacteria; Bacillati; Chloroflexota; Dehalococcoidia. The record is from RNAcentral.